Molecule: ribosomal RNA, 1655 nt
Filed under: Klebsiella grimontii
Lineage: Bacteria; Pseudomonadati; Pseudomonadota; Gammaproteobacteria; Enterobacterales; Enterobacteriaceae
Description: partial 23S ribosomal RNA
Rfam family: Bacterial large subunit ribosomal RNA
Source: RNAcentral
CAAGGCUAAAUACUCCUGACUGACCGAUAGUGAACCAGUACCGUGAGGGAAAGGCGAAAAGAACCCCGGCGAGGGGAGUGAAAAAGAACCUGAAACCGUGUACGUACAAGCAGUAGGAGCCUCUUUAUGGGGUGACUGCGUACCUUUUGUAUAAUGGGUCAGCGACUUAUAUUCUGUAGCAAGGUUAACCGUAUAGGGGAGCCGCAGGGAAACCGAGUCUUAACUGGGCGUUAAGUUGCAGGGUAUAGACCCGAAACCCGGUGAUCUAGCCAUGGGCAGGUUGAAGGUUGGGUAACACUAACUGGAGGACCGAACCGACUAAUGUUGAAAAAUUAGCGGAUGACUUGUGGCUGGGGGUGAAAGGCCAAUCAAACCGGGAGAUAGCUGGUUCUCCCCGAAAGCUAUUUAGGUAGCGCCUCGUGAAUUCAUCUUCGGGGGUAGAGCACUGUUUCGGCUAGGGGGUCAUCCCGACUUACCAACCCGAUGCAAACUACGAAUACCGAAGAAUGUUAUCACGGGAGACACACGGCGGGUGCUAACGUCCGUCGUGAAGAGGGAAACAACCCAGACCGCCAGCUAAGGUCCCAAAGUCAUGGUUAAGUGGGAAACGAUGUGGGAAGGCCCAGACAGCCAGGAUGUUGGCUUAGAAGCAGCCAUCAUUUAAAGAAAGCGUAAUAGCUCACUGGUCGAGUCGGCCUGCGCGGAAGAUGUAACGGGGCUAAACCAUGCACCGAAGCUGCGGCAGCGACACUAUGUGUUGUUGGGUAGGGGAGCGUUCUGUAAGCCGUUGAAGGUGGCCUGUGAGGGUUGCUGGAGGUAUCAGAAGUGCGAAUGCUGACAUAAGUAACGAUAAUGCGGGUGAAAAACCCGCACGCCGGAAGACCAAGGGUUCCUGUCCAACGUUAAUCGGGGCAGGGUGAGUCGACCCCUAAGGCGAGGCCGAAAGGCGUAGUCGAUGGGAAACAGGUUAAUAUUCCUGUACUCGGUGUUACUGCGAAGGGGGGACGGAGAAGGCUAUGUUGGCCGGGCGACGGUUGUCCCGGUUUAAGCAUGUAGGCGGAUGUUCCAGGUAAAUCCGGAACGUUAUCAACGCUGAGGUGUGAUGACGAGGCACUACGGUGCUGAAGUGACAAAUGCCCUGCUUCCAGGAAAAGCCUCUAAGCAUCAGGUAACAUCAAAUCGUACCCCAAACCGACACAGGUGGUCAGGUAGAGAAUACCAAGGCGCUUGAGAGAACUCGGGUGAAGGAACUAGGCAAAAUGGUGCCGUAACUUCGGGAGAAGGCACGCUGAUAUGUAGGUGAAGUGGUUUACCCAUGGAGCUGAAAUCAGUCGAAGAUACCAGCUGGCUGCAACUGUUUAUUAAAAACACAGCACUGUGCAAACACGAAAGUGGACGUAUACGGUGUGACGCCUGCCCGGUGCCGGAAGGUUAAUUGAUGGGGUUAUCCGUAAGGAGAAGCUCUUGAUCGAAGCCCCGGUAAACGGCGGCCGUAACUAUAACGGUCCUAAGGUAGCGAAAUUCCUUGUCGGGUAAGUUCCGACCUGCACGAAUGGCGUAAUGAUGGCCAGGCUGUCUCCACCCGAGACUCAGUGAAAUUGAACUCGCUGUGAAGAUGCAGUGUACCCGCGGCAAGACGGAAAGACCCCGUGAAC